Molecule: ribosomal RNA, 380 nt
Filed under: uncultured eukaryote
Lineage: Eukaryota
Description: partial 18S ribosomal RNA
Rfam family: Eukaryotic small subunit ribosomal RNA
Source: RNAcentral
CAAUAGCGUAUAUUAAAGUUGUUGCGGUUAAAAAGCUCGUAGUUGGAUUUCUGCUGAGAACGACCGGUCCGCCCUUUGGGUGUGUAUCUGGCUCUUUCUUGGCAUCUUCUUGGUGAACGUUGCUGCACUUGACUGUGUGGAGCGCUACCCAGGACUUUUACUUUGAGGAAAUUAGAGUGUUUCAAGCAGGCAUACGCCUUGAAUACAUUAGCAUGGAAUAAUAAGAUAGGACCUCGGUUCUAUUUUGUUGGUUUCUAGAGCUGAGGUAAUGAUUAAUAGGGAUAGUUGGGGGCAUUCGUAUUUAACUGUCAGAGGUGAAAUUCUUGGAUUUGUUAAAGACGGACUACCGCGAAAGCAUUUGCCAAGGAUGUUUUCAUUGA